AGCUCCAAUAGCGAAUAUUAAAGUUGUUGCGGCCAACCCGCUCGUAGUUGGAUUUCUGCCGAGGACGACCGGUCCGCCCUGCGGGUGAGUAUCUGGGACGACGUGGGCAUAUUAUUGGAGAACGUGUCUGCACUUGACUGUGUGGUGCGGUAUCCAGGAGUUUUAUUUGGAGGGAAUUAAAGUGUUUCAAGCAGGCACACGCCUUGAAUUCAUUAGCAUGGACUAAUAAGAUAUGACCUCGGUUCUACUUUGUUGGUUUCUAGAGCUGAGGUAAUGAUCAAUAGAGAUAGUUUGGCGGAUUCGUAUUUAAUUGUCAGACGUGAAAAUCUUGGAUUUGUUAGAGAUGGACUAUUGCGAAAUCAUUUGCCAAUGAUGUUUUCAUUG
RNAcentral lists this ribosomal RNA (384 nucleotides) under Torodinium sp. Its description in RNAcentral is "partial small subunit ribosomal RNA". It matches the Rfam family "Eukaryotic small subunit ribosomal RNA", at positions 587 to 975 of the family's 1831-position model. Lineage: Eukaryota; Dinophyceae; Torodiniales; Torodiniaceae. The record is from RNAcentral.